CAGCAUCGGGGUGCUGAAGAACAUGUCCCAGCGCAUCGGAGGGGAGCUGGAGGAACAGGCAGUAUUAGCCUCCCCAAAAGAAGCAAUUCUACUUCGUAAAUUUUACUACAGGCUUUAGGUGAAGUUGUUAUUAUUUUUAAACACCUCCAAAAACAGACACAGAUUUCUCUGAGCAGAUACUCGAAGUAUAGUUAUGAAUGGGAAUAUGAAACAGAGAAGCCUCUGUAACCUGUGGGAAUUUUUGUUCCAGAGAGGAUAGGACAUGAGCUGACUUUAUCAUCCCAUGACUCUCCCGCUAUAUUGAACAGACACGUUUUGCUUUGAAUCUUAAAUUAUUGUACCUUUGUUUUUUUUUUAAAAAAACUUACAAAUUUAACGCCAGUUAACAAAAACUCUUUCCUCUCAGAAAAAUAAAUAAAAACAAAACAUAA
Molecule: small RNA, 431 nt
Filed under: Pan troglodytes (chimpanzee)
Lineage: Eukaryota; Metazoa; Chordata; Mammalia; Primates; Hominidae
Description: processed transcript
Source: RNAcentral